UAACCCAAAAUUUGUGUGUUGUUUAAAAAAAGUAGCCAUGCAUGUAUAAGUAUAAACGCAUUGAAGCGUGAAACCGCGAACGGCUCAUUACAACAGCUAUAAUUUACUUGAUCUUGACAUCCUACAUGGAUAACUGUGGUAAUUCUAGAGCUAAUACAUGCACCAAAGCUCCAACCCGCAAGGGAAGAGCGCAUUUAUUAGAACAAAACCAAGCGGCUUCGGCUGCCCAACGUUGACUCAGAAUAACUAAGCUGAUCGCAUGGUCUUGUACCGGCGACGUGUCUUUCAAGUAUCUGCCUUAUCAACUUUCGAUGGUACUGUCAUUGACUACCAUGGUGGUGACGGGUAACGGAGGAUCAGGGUUCGACUCCGGAGAAGGGGCCUGAGAAAUGGCCACUACGUCUAAGGAUGGCAGCAGGCGCGCAAAUUACCCACUCUCAGAACAACUAGAGGAGGUAGUGACGAGAAAUAACGAGACCGUUCUCAACAGAGGCCGGUCAUCGGAAUGGGUACAAUUUAAACCCUUUAACGAGUAUCUAUGAGAGGGCAAGUCUGGUGCCAGCAGCCGCGGUAAUUCCAGCUCUCAAAAUGCAUAAAAUUAUUGCUGCGGUUAAAAAGCUCGUAGUUGGAUCUGUGCCAGCAUGCCGGUCCAUCUUCGGAUGCGUACUGGUUCAUUGCCGGCUUUCCUGCAGUUUGUCGGCUCUGUGCCCUUCACUGGGCGCAGUUGUUCGGUGCUGCAAUUUUACUUUGAACAAAUCAGAGUGCUCUAAACAGGCGUUUCGCUUGAAUGUUCGUGCAUGGAAUAAUAGAAGAGGAUUUCGGUUCUAUUUUAUUGGUUUUAUAGACUGAAAUAGGGU
RNAcentral lists this ribosomal RNA (857 nucleotides) under Pratylenchus coffeae. Its description in RNAcentral is "bacterial SSU rRNA". It matches the Rfam family "Eukaryotic small subunit ribosomal RNA", at positions 1 to 868 of the family's 1831-position model. The record is from RNAcentral. Lineage: Eukaryota; Metazoa; Nematoda; Chromadorea; Rhabditida; Pratylenchidae.